This 230-nucleotide unclassified non-coding RNA is filed under the name plant metagenome. RNAcentral describes it as "partial contains small subunit ribosomal RNA, internal transcribed spacer 1, and 5.8S ribosomal RNA". The stretch from base 183 to 230 matches the Rfam family "5.8S ribosomal RNA", at positions 1 to 48 of the family's 154-position model. The record is from RNAcentral.
UUUCCGUAGGUGAACCUGCGGAAGGAUCAUUCAUAAUAAAGUGUUUUAUGGCACUUUUUAAAAAUCCAUAUCCACCUUGUGUGCAAUGUUAGAUCUCGUCAAUCUUGGCGAGAUUUUUAUACAUCAACUCAUUCUUUAACUAAUUUGUCUGAAAAAUAUUAUGAAUACUUAAUUCAAAAUACAACUUUCAACAACGGAUCUCUUGGCUCUCGCAUCGAUGAAGAACGCAC